RNAcentral lists this ribosomal RNA (447 nucleotides) under uncultured bacterium. RNAcentral describes it as "partial 16S ribosomal RNA". It matches the Rfam family "Bacterial small subunit ribosomal RNA", at positions 338 to 795 of the family's 1533-position model. The record is from RNAcentral.
CCUACGGGGAGGCUGCAGUCGAGAAUCAUUCACAAUGGGGGAAACCCUGAUGGUGCGACGCCGCGUGGGGGAAUGAAGGUCUUCGGAUUGUAAACCCCUGUCAUGUGGGAGCAAAUUAAAAAGAUAGUACCACAAGAGGAAGAGACGGCUAACUCUGUGCCAGCAGCCGCGGUAAUACAAAGGUCUCAAGCGUUGUUCGGAAUCACUGGGCGUAAAGCGUGCGUAGGCUGUUUCGUAAGUCGUGUGUGAAAGGCGCGGGCUCAACCCGCGGACGGCACAUGAUACUGCGAGACGAGAGGAAUGGAGGGGGAACCGGAAUGCUCGGUGUAGCAGUGAAAUGCGUAGAUAUCGAGAGGAACACUCGUGGCGAAGGCGGGUUCCUGGACAUUAACUGACGCUGAGGCACGAAGGCCAGGGGAGCGAAAGGGAUUAGAUACCCGGGUAGUC